Molecule: ribosomal RNA, 501 nt
Filed under: uncultured bacterium
Lineage: Bacteria
Description: partial 16S ribosomal RNA
Rfam family: Bacterial small subunit ribosomal RNA
Source: RNAcentral
AUUGAACGCUGGCGGCAUGCCUUACACAUGCAAGUCGAACGGCAGCACGGGUGCUUGCACCUGGUGGCGAGUGGCGAACGGGUGAGUAAUACAUCGGAACGUACCUUAUCGUGGGGGAUAACGCAGCGAGAGCUGUGCUAAUACCGCAUACGCCCUGAGGGGGAAAGCGGGGGAUCGAAAGACCUCGCGCGAUUAGAGCGGCCGAUGCCUGAUUAGCUUGUUGGUGGGGUAAAAGCCCACCAAGGCGACGAUCAGUAGCUGGUCUGAGGGGACGAUCAGCCACACUGGGACUGAGACACGGCCCAGACUCCUACGGGAGGCAGCAGUGGGGAAUUUUGGACAAUGGGGGCAACCCUGAUCCAGCAAUGCCGCGUGAGUGAAGAAGGCCUUCGGGUUGUAAAGCUCUUUUGUCAGGGAAGAAACACCGGCUCUAACACAGUCCGGGAAUGACGGUACCUGAAGAAUAAGCACCGGCUAACUACGUGCCAGCAGCCGCUGUAG